GACGUAGGGCGCAAGCGUUGUCCGGAUUUAUUGGGCGUAAAGAGCUCGUAGGCGGCUUGUUGCGUCGACCGUGAAAACCCGUGGCUCAACUGCGGGCUUGCGGUCGAUACGGGCGGGCUAGAGUUCGGUAGGGGAGACUGGAAUUCCUGGCGUAGCGGUGAAAUGCGCAGAUAUCAGGAGGAACACCGGUGGCGAAGGCGGGUCUCUGGGCCGAUACUGACGCUGAGGAGCGAAAGCGUGGGGAGCGAACAGG
This 253-nucleotide ribosomal RNA is filed under the name uncultured bacterium. Its description in RNAcentral is "partial 16S ribosomal RNA". It matches the Rfam family "Bacterial small subunit ribosomal RNA", at positions 524 to 776 of the family's 1533-position model. The record is from RNAcentral.